RNAcentral lists this ribosomal RNA (254 nucleotides) under uncultured bacterium. RNAcentral's name for it is "partial 16S ribosomal RNA". It matches the Rfam family "Bacterial small subunit ribosomal RNA", at positions 524 to 776 of the family's 1533-position model. The record is from RNAcentral.
UACGGAGGGUGCGAGCGUUGUCCGGAAUUAUUGGGCGUAAAGAGCUCGUAGGCGGUCUGUCGCGUCGGUCGUGAAAACUUGGGGCUUAACCCUGAGCUUGCGGUCGAUACGGGCAUGACUGGAGUUCGGCAGGGGAGACUGGAAUUCCUGGUGUAGCGGUGAAAUGCGCAGAUAUCAGGAGGAACACCGGUGGCGAAGGCGGGUCUCUGGGCCGAUACUGACGCUGAGGAGCGAAAGCGUGGGGAGCGAACAGG